Molecule: long non-coding RNA, 524 nt
Filed under: Chrysolophus pictus (golden pheasant)
Lineage: Eukaryota; Metazoa; Chordata; Aves; Galliformes; Phasianidae
Description: lncRNA (ENSCPIG00010012155.1)
Source: RNAcentral
GAAGAAAGUCUUAACCGUCUUGUGCAGAACAUACAGGACAAAUAUGAUGGGAAGAUAUCCCAGUGUUCUGCAGAAGAUUUAGAGGUUCUCAUUGAAGCCAAACUUCAGCUUGCAACUAUUUCUCAGCAAUGGCACCGAGCAGCUUUCAGCAUUGCUUUGGCUUUCUCUGCAAUUCGACUUCUCCAAGAUGCAGAUAUUUUUAGGAUGACAGCAACAAAUUUUCAAGAAAGAAAGGAUAAAAGGGAGAGUUUGGAUUCUUGUGUUGAAGGUGCUCAACAGCCUCACAGUACUAUAGCAGAUCAUCUGAAUAUACAUCUGUGGCUAAGGUGUCGUAAAAUGUUGGUGACUGCACUAGCAACACAGCUACACAGUGUUGGUGAUAAGGAAGAAAAUUAUGUGGCUGAACGCAAAAGUAUUAUAAAAGAAGUAAUAUUAGAGGCAGAAGCCUUUGGUGAUAUUGAGACUCAGGCUGAAAUGAUGGUGCAAGCAGCAAUUCUUGACCUGCAAGAAGGAUGUCCUACGGC